RNAcentral lists this ribosomal RNA (419 nucleotides) under uncultured bacterium. RNAcentral describes it as "bacterial SSU rRNA". It matches the Rfam family "Bacterial small subunit ribosomal RNA", at positions 772 to 1187 of the family's 1533-position model. The record is from RNAcentral.
ACUAAAUAGAUACCCAGGUAGUCCACGCCCUAAACGAUGAUUACUCGACAUUGGCGAUAUUACUGUUCAGUGUCUGAGCGAAAGCGUUAAGUAAUCCACCUGGGGAGUACGCCCGCAAGGGUGAAACUCAAAGGAAUUGACGGGGGUCCGCACAAGCGGAGGAGCAUGUGGUUUAAUUCGAUGAUACGCGAGGAACCUUACCUGGGCUAGAAUGCGCGUGAAUGUUUCAGAAACGAGACAGGCUCAGCAAUGAGACACAAAGCAAGGUGCUGCAUGGCUGUCGUCAGCUCGUGCCGUGAGGUGUUUGGGUUAAGUCCCGCAACGAGCGCAACCCUCAUCAUUAGGUUGCCAACGGGUAGAGCCGGGGACUCUAGUGAAACUGCCUGCGUAAGCAGCGAGGAAGGGGGGUACGGACGUCG